GGAAUAUUGCACAAUGGGGGGAACCCUGAUGCAGCGACGCCGCGUGAAGGAUGAAGUAUUUCGGUACGUAAACUUCUAUCAGCAGGGAAGAAAAUGACGGUACCUGACUAAGAAGCCCCGGCUAACUACGUGCCAGCAGCCGCGGUAAUACGUAGGGGGCAAGCGUUAUCCGGAUUUACUGGGUGUAAAGGGAGCGUAGACGGGCCAGCAAGUCUGAUGUGAAAACCCGGGGCCCAACCCCGGGAGUGCAUUGGAAACUGCGGGCCUGGAGUGCCGGAGAGGUAAGCGGAAUUCCUAGUGUAGCGGUGAAAUGCGUAGAUAUUAGGAGGAACACCAGUGGCGAAGGCGGCUUACUGGACGGUAACUGACGUUGAGGCUCGAAAGCGUGGGGAGCAAAC
Molecule: ribosomal RNA, 398 nt
Filed under: uncultured bacterium
Lineage: Bacteria
Description: bacterial SSU rRNA
Rfam family: Bacterial small subunit ribosomal RNA
Source: RNAcentral